Molecule: long non-coding RNA, 1660 nt
Organism: Ictalurus punctatus (channel catfish)
Lineage: Eukaryota; Metazoa; Chordata; Actinopteri; Siluriformes; Ictaluridae
Source: Ensembl
AAUAAUAAUAAUAAUAAAACAUAUAAAUAAAUAAAUAAAUAAAUAGAUAGAUAAAUAAAUAAAUAUUUUAAAAAAGGUAAUGUCAGUCUCUGCACCGCUCGCUUAGGGCGCUUGAAAAUGCAGCGCUUCGAACACAAAUCUCACUCGGGUCUGGACCAAAACGACUACGUCGGAGAAAAUUUGAAGCAGCGUGGUCUCGGUCUGCUUUCAAGCGACGUGUAAUGAGGUUUCCAGGCAACCAAAACAUGGGACUGUGCUAGCUGAUACCUUAUGCGAUUUGUCUCAUUAUGAUUAUUAUUUAGUGCCAGCACUGUGUUCUCCAUGCUUGCUUAUUUCCAACAGCCCCGCUUCUUUCGCAUGUCUCCCUCAGCACGUGUUUAAAUUUUCUGACCCGUAUGAAAUUCCAGCAGCAUGAAAUUAAAUUUCAGUAUGAAACGUUGACACGUAGAGUAAAAGAAAAAGCCCCCCCCCCUUACCACUUCAUCCUUCUCUUCAAGAUCUUUCUGCAGCUGAAUCUUCUCGUCCCUCAGGCCCUGCAGCAGUUCCAGAAGCUGGUCUCUCUCCUGAGUCACGAAGGCGAUAUCUGACCGAACCUGUUCCAUCUCAGCCACGUGAGAAAGACUCUGCUGGGUCGACUCUGAUAGAAGGUGCUCUCUCUCUGCACUCAUAGACUGAAGCUCCUGUCUUAACUGCAUGACCUGUGGGGGGGAAAUAAACAAAUAUUAAACAGACAUGGAGUAGGAUUGUUAUCUUAUCUUAUCUUAUCUUAUCUAUCUAUCUAUAUAUACACACACAUAUACAUACAUACAUACAUACAUACACACAUACAUAUACACACACACACGUACACAAACCCCUCCUUUCGGACUCCCCUAAAUCACACUACGGCACGCUCCUGUUCUUCACACAGGCUCUUUUCAUUUUCACCACCAGCUUGUGCGAGUCCCUACCGUUUCGUUGGUCUCCACAAGUUCAGUCUUCAGCCGGUUAUUCUCCUCUCUCGUCUGGUCUCUCUCUUCAGUCAGAGACGCGAUACGGACCUGAUGCCUCUCCGACUCGGCUUUGCUAUCCAGCUCGUCUUUAGAUUUCUCAGCCAACAAGUUGUCCUUUUCGGCCGUAGCAGAUCGGAGCUCGUCCGUCAACUGAGUCAGCUGCAACACACACAUUCACAAUCACAUUAAAGUUCAAGACACGACUUCUUUCUCUCUUUAUGUUUACUAAGAGAUUCCUACUACUUGAACAGAAAAAAAAAAAAUUAAGGCAAGAUUAGGAUUACCAUCCGAUUCUUGUCCUCCAGCUCACUGCUCAUCUGGUUCUUCUCCUCUCUCAGGCCCUGCAGGAUCUCCAGCAGUUGGUCUCUUUCUUCACUGAGAGCGGAUACACUCGCCUGAAUCGUCUCCAGUGCAGCGUCCACCGCAGAGUCUUUAGUCGCAGCGUCUCUGUCUGCAGUAGUGACCUCGCGCUCCUCUCUCAGCUGUAUAAUCUGAGAAGACGUCAACAUUAGCGUUUCGCUUACAUUCUUGAAAGUUUUCCAAUAAAUAAAUAAAUAAAUAAAUAAAUAAAUAAAAUAAUAAUAAUAAUAAUAAUGAGUAAUUCUGACCAUGUCUUCCUCUUCCUUCUCUUCUAGGAUACUCUUUAUCUGGCUCUUUUCUUCCCUCAG